CGGAUGGACGCACUCUGAUGCAGCGAUGCCGCGUGAGUGAAGAAGGCCCUUGGGUUGUAAAGCUCUUUCGUCGGGGAAGAAAAUGACUGUACCCGAAUAAGAAGGUCCGGCUAACUUCGUGCCAGCAGCCGCGGUAAUACGAAGGGACCUAGCGUAGUUCGGAAUUACUGGGCUUAAAGAGUUCGUAGGUGGUUGAAAAAGUUAGUGGUGAAAUCCCAGAGCUUAACUCUGGAACUGCCAUCAAAACUUUUCAACUACAGUAUGAUAGAGGAAAGCAGAAUUUCUAGUGUAGAGGUGAAAUUCGUAGAUAUUAGAAAGAAUACCAAUUGCGAAGGCAGCUUUCUGGAUCAUUACUGACACUGAGGAACGAAAGCAUGGGUAGCGAAAAGGAUUAGAUACCCUCGUAAUCCAUGCCGUAAACGAUGUGUGUUAGACCGUUGGAAAUUUAUUUUCAGUGUCGCAGGGAAACCGAUAAACACACCGCCUGGGGAGUACGACCGCAAGGUUAAAACUCAAAGGAAUUGACGGAG
Molecule: ribosomal RNA, 530 nt
Filed under: uncultured bacterium
Lineage: Bacteria
Description: bacterial SSU rRNA
Rfam family: Bacterial small subunit ribosomal RNA
Source: RNAcentral